UGUGUGUGCAUGUGUGUGUGUGUGUGUGAAUAUCUAUAUCUAUAUAGAUAUAUAUGCACGCACACACACAUAUACAUACA
This 80-nucleotide microRNA precursor is filed under the name Podarcis lilfordi (Lilford's wall lizard). Lineage: Eukaryota; Metazoa; Chordata; Lepidosauria; Squamata; Lacertidae. The record is from RNAcentral.